AAAGGCAGUGUGCUGAAAUUAAUUUGUUGGGAUGGGAUCUGCCGGCUGAUUUCAAUAGCAGAGGGGCAGAAAUCCCACUGUGCUCAGGAGUGCCACGCUUGGGCACACUGCUGCUUUCCUGCCCUUCCCCUGCUCUUCUGCUCUCCCCCCCCCCCCAGCUAAAGCCAGGCAGGGAGAGGGAGGGAGGGAAGAACAGCGAGUCCGAGAGCUCUCUGCGGUCGGCAGGGCCUAUAAAUAGCCGCUGAAGUCUUGUAAUGCCGACGGGGUGCGUCACAACCGCCCUCCCCACUCCAACCCCACUGCCGGCCCCGCAGCACCCGCAGCCCCAGGGAUGGGGAGAUGGGGGCUCACCCUGACUUUGGGAACCAUCCCCCAGGAAGCUCGUCGCUUUGCCCGGACGUUUCUCUGUGUAUUGCCACACUGAUACAUUUCUGAGCAUGGUGACCCUGUUUUAUUUCUUUGUUCUUGCCCCAAUGCCUCGUUCUGUUAGGAGCUGCUUCCACCAAUCCAUCAGACACAAGCGGGGGAACCCGCUGCCGAGUUCAUCCUCUCUGCACCUGCUCGUUCAAAACUUGACCUGCCGAAGGAAGAGAUGCCAGGCUGCCGUGUGGGAUGUGCUCCUUUUCUAGGAACAUGGUCAAAGCAGUAGGCAGGGAAACUCAGGGAGGACCCACCCAGCCAUGGCCAGCUUCCUUCCUUCCUUCAAGGCUCAAGGGGUGCCUGUUGUCAGAGAUGUCUGGUUUUCCUCAUCCACCACUGUUAAAAGAUGCCUGUGGAGUGGUAUACUGUGAACCUUCCGUGAAGGAUUAACAGGAGAAGAAAUUCUAGGGUCUGUGUGAUAGCAGCAGCUGGAGAACCUCUUCCUUCUUCCCUUCAGGACUUGGCUUUCCCAAGGCUUUGUAGGUGGGUUGUUAAGGCCUAACUCUUUACCCCUGCUCUGUCUCAUAUUUUUUUAAUGUUGUGUAUGAUAGGAAGUAUUAAUAGCAAAAGGGAAACUACAAGAGGACUUAAUUCCACCCCUAGUGGAUCCUCGUUCCAAAGGCUGUGAAGAAAACAUCAGAGAGAAUUCAGAGAAACGGAGGGACAGGGAAUUUGAACAGUAGGCAUCACAGUCGAGCAGAUCCACAGACACUCAAGGUGUCAAUUUCUCAUAACUGGUGGAAUUAAGUGCAGGGCAGUCCAUUAUUUAUUUUUCACAUUCCAGUUCCUGGCAAAGAACAAUAUCAGAAUAAGAGAGGAGGGAUAAAGAAAGUUUCUGAAAGAACCGAGAAUGCUUCCUACCUAAGUAACAAACUGAACAGAGAGAGCAGCCUCUUAACAUUGCAAGUUUUUUGUUUCUGCCUCAUUUGCUGCUACCUCAGAAUAACCAAAACACCAUCUUUGUCUAAUAUAAAACAACUAUUUUCACAAAACACUUCAAGCCACAGCAGUUUAGUCCUACCAGAAUAAUUCAUCACUCCACUGUAGCAAAUGUUAAUAUAUGAAAAAAUACAACUGUGUAUUAAAAGAAAAAGGAAGAAAAUUGUUUAAUUUAAAGCCCUUGUAUUUCAAUGGGUUCGGGCAGAAUUCACUAAAGCAUUGCUGGUGUUGUCCCAGCGCAAGUGAUGAUGACACUCAGCUGUCCAAGAUGGGGCUGUGUUUCAUUUAAACUCAGCAGAGAGACCCAGUAGAGGUCUGGUCUCUGAUAGACAGAGAUAGCAGACCUACCUGCAAUUCCUGCUGGGAGUUUUCCCCCCUCUGCUGGGUCACUGACUGCAGGGAGGACCAAGCACCUAAUUUUGGUUGUUCAGAGAACUGCUUUAAUUGGGCUGAGGCAAAAACAAAGCAGAGUGUUGGAGAAAAGGCCUUCAAAUCUUGGCGUAGCACAGAACAUAGAAUUUUUAUAAGGAAAAAAAGGCUGCUGUAAGUAUCAGAAGAGCGGUUAGGUCUGAGGCCAGCAAAAGGUUAAUCUGAGAAAUGA
Molecule: long non-coding RNA, 1960 nt
Filed under: Meleagris gallopavo (turkey)
Lineage: Eukaryota; Metazoa; Chordata; Aves; Galliformes; Phasianidae
Description: lncRNA (ENSMGAG00000017919.1)
Source: RNAcentral